Molecule: non-coding RNA, 124 nt
Organism: Picea glauca (white spruce)
Lineage: Eukaryota; Viridiplantae; Streptophyta; Pinopsida; Pinales; Pinaceae
Source: Rfam
UCUUAUGUACAUGCCUAUAGUGUUAUUACAUUGGAUCCCAUCAUAACUCUGCAGUUAAGCGUGCCUGGGCUAGAGUAAUACUGAUAUGGGCAACCUCUCGAGAAGUCCAAGUGUUUUACAUGGC